GUGAAUGUUUACCUGUGACGCUUCUCUCUAUGGUUUUGCAACACUAGUUCGUUUCGAUAGCUAGAAUUGAAUUGUUUUUCCUACAGUGUUUUCCCUUUUGC
Molecule: long non-coding RNA, 101 nt
Organism: Daphnia pulicaria
Lineage: Eukaryota; Metazoa; Arthropoda; Branchiopoda; Diplostraca; Daphniidae
Exons: 3
Source: RefSeq, a predicted model, not a curated record